This 227-nucleotide ribosomal RNA is filed under the name uncultured bacterium. Its description in RNAcentral is "partial 16S ribosomal RNA". It matches the Rfam family "Bacterial small subunit ribosomal RNA", at positions 15 to 224 of the family's 1533-position model. The record is from RNAcentral.
GAUCAUGGCUCAGGAUGAACGCUGGCGGCGUGCCUAACACAUGCAAGUCGAGCGAAGCACUUUGCUUAGAUUCUUCGGAUGAAGAGGAUUGUGACUGAGCGGCGGACGGGUGAGUAACGCGUGGGUAACCUGCCUUAUACAGGGGGAUAACAGUUAGAAAUGACUGCUAAUACCGCAUAAGCGCACAGGAUUGCAUGAUCUGGUGUGAAAAACUCCGGUGGUAUAAG